This 594-nucleotide ribosomal RNA is filed under the name uncultured bacterium. RNAcentral's name for it is "partial 16S ribosomal RNA". It matches the Rfam family "Bacterial small subunit ribosomal RNA", at positions 56 to 647 of the family's 1533-position model. The record is from RNAcentral.
UGCAGUCGAGGGGUAACAUGGNAGCUUGCUUCUGAUGACGACCGGCGNACNNNNNNGUAACGCGUACACAACCUACCUUCAAGAGGGGGAUAGCCUCGGGAAACUGAGAUUAAUACCCCAUAGUAUUAUCUUUAUCAUGUAUGGAUAAUUAAAGAUCCGUCGCUUGAAGAUGGGUGUGCGUAGGAUUAGAUAGUUGGUGAGGUAACGGCUCACCAAGUCGACGAUCCUUAGGGGGCGUGAGAGCGUGGCCCCCCACACGGGUACUGAGACACGGACCCGACUCCUACGGGAGGCAGCAGUAAGGAAUAUUGGACAAUGGGCGCAAGCCUGAUCCAGCCAUCCCGCGUGCAGGAUGACGGCCCUAUGGGUUGUAAACUGCUUUUAGAUAGGACGAAACUUUAGGAUUUAUCCUGAACUGACGGUACUAUCAGAAUAAGCACCGGCUAACUCCGUGCCAGCAGCCGCGGUAAUACGGAGGGNGCAAGCGUUAUCCGGAAUCACUGNGUUUAAAGGGNGCGUAGGCGGCGUUGUAAGUCANAUGUGAAAGCCCACCGCUUAACGGUGGAACUGCAUUUGAUACUGCAAUGCUNGNAU